UACGGAGGAUGCGAGCGUUAUCCGGAUUUAUUGGGUUUAAGGGGUGCGUAGGCGGUUUUGCAAGUCAGCGGUGAAACGCACGGGCUUAACCUGUGACCUGCCGUUGAAACUGCGGGACUGGAAUGCGGAUGCUGUGGGAGGAAUGUGUGGUGUAGUGGUGAAAUGCAUAGAUAUCACACAGAACACCGAUUGCGAAGGCAUCUCACAAAUCCGUGAUUGACGCUGAGGCACGAAAGUGUGGGGAUCAAAC
RNAcentral lists this ribosomal RNA (250 nucleotides) under uncultured prokaryote. Its description in RNAcentral is "partial 16S ribosomal RNA". It matches the Rfam family "Bacterial small subunit ribosomal RNA", at positions 524 to 773 of the family's 1533-position model. The record is from RNAcentral.